RNAcentral lists this ribosomal RNA (478 nucleotides) under uncultured bacterium. RNAcentral describes it as "bacterial SSU rRNA". It matches the Rfam family "Bacterial small subunit ribosomal RNA", at positions 11 to 472 of the family's 1533-position model. The record is from RNAcentral.
GUUUGAUCCUGGCUCAGGACGAACGCUGGCGGCGUGCUUAACACAUGCAAGUCGAACGGAGAUUCAGCAAUGGAUCUUAGUGGCGAACGGGUGAGUAACGCGUAGGCAAUCUGCCUUCUAGAUGGGGACAACAUCCCGAAAGGGGUGCUAAUACCGAAUGUUGUAGUAUUUCCGCAUGGAGAUGCUACUAAAGGUGGCCUCUGAAUAUGCUACCGCUAGAAGAUGAGCCUGCGUCUGAUUAGCUAGUUGGAGGGGUAAUGGCCCACCAAGGCUUCGAUCAGUAGCCGGUCUGAGAGGAUGAACGGCCACACUGGGACUGAGACACGGCCCAGACUCCUACGGGAGGCAGCAGUGGGGAAUCUUCCGCAAUGGACGAAAGUCUGACGGAGCAACGCCGCGUGAGUGAAGAAGGUUUUCGGAUCGUAAAGCUCUUUCGUCAGGGACGAACGUAUUUCUUGUAAAUAAUGAGAGAUAGUGA